RNAcentral lists this unclassified non-coding RNA (204 nucleotides) under uncultured fungus. RNAcentral describes it as "sequence contains ITS1". Lineage: Eukaryota; Fungi. The record is from RNAcentral.
UUAUGCUUAUUUUUUGUUCUUCAGACUUGACAAUUGUAAAGAGUUUUGGUAAAAACCUCUGACGGGCGCUCGCCAGCCGGAGCCAGCGGGGCGAACGAGUCGCCACGGCCCGCCAAAGCAACAGGGUAGUUAAACAUGGGUGGGAGGUUGGGCCCAGAGGACCCGAACUCGGUAAUGAUCCUUCCGCAGGUUCACCUACGGAAA